This 79-nucleotide microRNA precursor is filed under the name Xenopus laevis (African clawed frog). RNAcentral describes it as "mir-132 microRNA precursor family". It matches the Rfam family "mir-132 microRNA precursor family". The record is from Rfam by way of RNAcentral. Lineage: Eukaryota; Metazoa; Chordata; Amphibia; Anura; Pipidae.
CUCCAGGGCAACCGUGGCUUUAGAUUGUUACUGUAGAUCUACAUUGGUAACAGUCUACAGCCAUGGUCGCUCGGGCAAG